Molecule: long non-coding RNA, 1291 nt
Filed under: Lonchura striata (white-rumped munia)
Lineage: Eukaryota; Metazoa; Chordata; Aves; Passeriformes; Estrildidae
Description: domestica (Bengalese finch) lncRNA (ENSLSDG00000002317.1)
Source: RNAcentral
AAGUUUAGCUUGUGCAUUUUUUAAGACUUUAUUGCAUACUUGCCCACUGAUUGCAAUGUGGUUUAUUGUUUCUUUCUUUCCUUUAUGGAUGGAUGGAUGGACAAUGAGAACAGAAUUUUGUCUAACACUAUUCAGUAUCUACUGAACCUUCUGGAUAGUUACAACAGAGAACUUCCUGGAAGGGUAAUCCAAAUACUGUGUAAGGAGAAAGAGGAAAAUGAGAUGCUGAAAGAGAAGACAAAAAAGCUAGAGGAAAGAAUGCAAGAGCUGUUGGCUAAAGCAAUGGCCAUGCACCAACACUCUGAGGACAUCAGUGACCCUUCACGUUUGUCUGCAGUGCUGGAGAGAUACGAGAUGCUCCGGCUACAGGAAUGGGAGAAAGUCAGGAGCUCCAUGCCCUACCGUUGGACGUAUGAAGAAGGCAGUCGCGCCAUUAGGAGGGUGUUUGAUGCCUGUGAAAAAGAUAUACAGAAGAGAGCAGAUGACAUACUUAAAGUUCUUGACAUUCCACCUUCAAACAAGGUGAUGAUGCAAGACAUACUGAAGCUGCUCAGGCAACAAUAUCACCAAAACUCAAUGGUUUACAAGAAAAUUGUUCAAGAAGCUGCCAUUCACAUAAGAACUGAAAAUGAAACACAGUUCCUGCUGCAGUGCUGUCAAAUUUAUUGUCUACUGCUUCUUCAGGACCCACCAGUUAAAGCUGAGUGGAGGAUGAACAGAAACCAUUUAGAGCACGUGGACAAGAAAGAUGAAGUGCACUGGAAAAAAGUAUCACUUCUGUGGCCCAUAAUGAAACGUGGGGAAGAAAUUAUUGUGAAAGGUGUAGUCUGGGAUCAAAGGAAAAUGACUUGAGAGUCAGGCUAAUUACUUACUUAGCCAUAAGAAGAUGAAACAGCUGCUAUGUGAUACUCUGCUUUUCUUUCUCCCAUGAAUUGCCUACUUUUCAGAGCUAGUAAGUUAGACAUCCCCCACAUGGGACAUCUAGGAUAAAUCAUCAUUAACAAACCUGUAUUAAAAAUUGCAGCUAUUCCAAUUGUCUCCUCACAAAGGCCACCUGCCUGUUAGCACUCCCCUGCUUUCCCACAUCUGUACAAUUUACCUCUCCCAAAGUCCUUCAGCUACACACAUGCCACAGCACUGGACCAAAGAACUCUAAAAGCUGUAUUCCAUGGCAUAAUGGGGAUGCAAUGAGGCAAAUGCAUGUUUAUGUGAUUUGGUGUGACACAGUAUUCUGUGAGCAACUUGAGAAUUACCAAAUAAAAAAUACUUUAAAUUCUGCUGUGUGCCUGCU